AGCGAACGCUGGCGGCAGGCCUAACACAUGCAAGUCGAACGAACUCUUCGGAGUUAGUGGCGGACGGGUGAGUAACACGUGGGAACGUGCCUUUUGGUUCGGAAUAACUCAGGGAAACUUGUGCUAAUACCGAAUGUGCCCUUCGGGGGAAAGAUUUAUCGCCAUUAGAGCGGCCCGCGUCUGAUUAGCUAGUUGGUGAGGUAACGGCUCACCAAGGCGACGAUCAGUAGCUGGUCUGAGAGGAUGACCAGCCACACUGGGACUGAGACACGGCCCAGACUCCUACGGGAGGCAGCAGUGGGGAAUCUUGCGCAAUGGGCGAAAGCCUGACGCAGCCAUGCCGCGUGAAUGAUGAAGGUCUUAGGAUUGUAAAAUUCUUUCAGCGGGGACGAUAAUGACGGUACCCGGAGAAGAAGCCCCGGCUAACUUCGUG
Molecule: ribosomal RNA, 433 nt
Filed under: uncultured bacterium
Lineage: Bacteria
Description: partial 16S ribosomal RNA
Rfam family: Bacterial small subunit ribosomal RNA
Source: RNAcentral